RNAcentral lists this ribosomal RNA (1110 nucleotides) under Triticum aestivum (bread wheat). Its description in RNAcentral is "partial small subunit ribosomal RNA". Lineage: Eukaryota; Viridiplantae; Streptophyta; Magnoliopsida; Poales; Poaceae. The record is from RNAcentral.
AUGUUGUUAUCCACGGGUGAAGUGGGGCGUGAGGCUCCGAAACCUAGAGAAUUUCAGUUCGAUUUGGCGUGGGUUAAAGAUGAUAGAUUCCUCCCGCUGGUUCAGAAAAUUUGGGUGUGUAAGGUUUUCUCUUCUGACCCCAUCGAUGUCUUAAACAUCAAACUCAAGAGAUUCAAGUCUUAUUUUUAAGGGUGGGGUUCGGAUAAAUUUGGUCAUGAUAAGAAAAGAAAGGAUGACCUCCGGAUGGAGCUGGAACUGUUGGAAGAGUUAGAAGAAGAGGCCCCUCUUUCCCCUGAGCUGUACAGUAGGAAGAUCGAUGCCUGUUUUGAACUUCAUGAGCUGCUUGUUAAUGAGGAAAUUUUUUGGUUGCAACAAUCGCACGAGCGAUGGUUGCUUAAAGGGGAUUUAAAUACCGAUUACUUCCAUCGUAUAGCUAAUGGGCGUAAAAGGAAAAACACGAUCCACUCCCUUAAGGUGGGUUAUACGGAGAUAGAAGGUACUAAUAAGCUGAUCGCUCAUGCCACAGAGUUCUAUAAAGAACUAUUCGGGACAGCUUCUGGAAACCAGUUUCACCUGGACCCUGACACAUGGACUCCGGAGGAAAAACUUAGUAAGGAAGAUAACACUAACCUGUGUAGAGAAUUUUCUGAAGAGGAGGUCAAGGAGGCCCUUUUUGAAAUGGCUCCCAAUAGAGCUCCUGGACCUGACAAUAUAUCGGUAGAAUUCUACCAAGUAUGCUGGGAUAUUGUCAAGGAUGAUAUCAUGGUCUUGUUUAGACACUUUCGUCAAGGGACGUUGGAUGUUCAAAGGUUGAACUACGGGAUCAUCACUUUGCUCCCGAAGCUCUCCGGGGCUGACAAAAUCCAACAGUUCAGACCCAUUUGCUUGCUUCGUUGCCCUUAUAAACUUAUCACAAAAGUCCUAGACCGCCGAGUCUUGGUUUAUGCUGACAAGCUAAUUAGCCCAGUCCAGAAUGCCUUUGUCAAGGGUAGGAACAUUAUGGAUGGGGUGCUUUCACUCCAUGAAAUCCUUAAUUACACACAUGUGAAGAAAAAGGUUGGGGUGGUGUUGAAACUGGAUUUUGAAAAAGCGUAUGAUAAGGUUAACUAG